ACGCUCGACACCUGGAGGCAGCAGUGGGGAAUAUUGCACAAUGGGGGAAACCCUGAUGCAGCGACGCCGCGUGAAGGAUGAAGUAUUUCGGUAUGUAAACUUCUAUCAGCAGGGAAGAAAGUGACGGUACCUGACUAAGAAGCCCCGGCUAACUACGUGUCAGCAGCCGCGGUAAUCUGAGCGGGCUGGCAAGGC
This 195-nucleotide ribosomal RNA is filed under the name uncultured bacterium. Its description in RNAcentral is "partial 16S ribosomal RNA". It matches the Rfam family "Bacterial small subunit ribosomal RNA", at positions 328 to 539 of the family's 1533-position model. The record is from RNAcentral.